Molecule: long non-coding RNA, 278 nt
Filed under: Fukomys damarensis (Damara mole-rat)
Lineage: Eukaryota; Metazoa; Chordata; Mammalia; Rodentia; Bathyergidae
Description: lncRNA (ENSFDAG00000030355.1)
Source: RNAcentral
CUCUCUCUCUCUCUCUCGGGGCAGCAGCUCCGCCCGCUCUGAAAGAAGGAAAGCUGGAUUUCUAUUCACGGACACUAGUGAGUUGGUUAUUUAUUUGGCUUCUCUGAAAAGUGGCCACGGUCGUCCUACCAUCCUGUCGCUGUCUUUCUGGAAAGCAGUCUGGUGAUAGCUAUCAAAAUGGGGGCCCACAGGAAGCUCAGAAGAUUCAGAAGUACGGGGAGCCACCCCAAGCCCCGAGAUGACCACUGCUUUCCUUCUCAGCGGGUCUGAACGCCAGC